This 407-nucleotide ribosomal RNA is filed under the name uncultured bacterium. Its description in RNAcentral is "partial 16S ribosomal RNA". It matches the Rfam family "Bacterial small subunit ribosomal RNA", at positions 28 to 526 of the family's 1533-position model. The record is from RNAcentral.
GACGAACGCUGGCGGCGUGCCUAAUACAUGCAAGUAGGACGCAGUUGCGAACGGGUGAGUAACGCGUAGGUAACUACCUAAUAUAGGGGGAUAACUAUUGGAAACGAUAGCUAAUACCGCAUACUAGUAGAUGGACCUGCGUUGUAUUAGCGAGUAAGUAGGGUACUGGCCUACAGAGGCAACGAGACAUAGCCGACCUGACAGUGUGAGCGGCCACACGUGGACUGGGACACGGCCAAGAGUGCAACGGGAGGCAGCAGUAGGGAAUCUGCGGAAAUGGGGGGAACACUGACGGAGCAACGCCGCGUGGGUGAAGAAGGUUUUCGGAUCGUAAAGCUCUGUUGUUAAGGAAGCGGUACUUAACCAGAAAGGGACGGCUAACUACGUGCCAGCAGCCGCGGUAAUAC